Ictidomys tridecemlineatus (thirteen-lined ground squirrel) is the source of this 1399-nucleotide non-coding RNA. The record is from RefSeq and is a predicted model, not a curated record. NCBI's taxonomy places the organism in Eukaryota, Metazoa, Chordata, Mammalia, Rodentia, Sciuridae.
UGUACGGGCUUGCAGUGUCACACCUAGUGUGAUGGGCACCAUCCUCUCUAGGGAGAGAGAACCUGAGGCCUCUCCCCCUCCCCACCGUACCACCCUUCUCUGCUCCCGAAACACCCACUCCCCACGGCCCCUCGUUCCAGUUCCGAGGCCCAGCCCUGGGGAGGACGCUCCUCUGGGCCCGCAGACAGCCGCCCUCACCCCCGAUCCUCACGUGGUGGUGGACAGAGAGCGUCUCUCAGGUCUCUCAUCCUGGGACACGGAUCCCGUUGGUGGGGCCCCUGCCUCCUAAGGCCAUCAGGCUGGGGCUGGGCCUCGGUGUAGGGAACACAAAUGCCCCCGUCCACAGCCAAGGCCCAGAGGUGACACCCGGCACAAACGGGAGAAAGUCCAGACGCUCAGCCUCAGACACGUCUCGGAGCCUUGCGGAGCGGGGCCUUGAUCACGCGCGUGGCCCCCUCCGUCCUGGAGGCCGGCUCCCUCCCUGGGCCUGGGAGGGGGAGCCCAGCUGUGGGUAGGAGCUCCUGCCCGCAGAGGCCACCUCCCGCUGUCCCCCGGGGAACCUGCACCCGUCAGAGGCCUGGAGAUAGGGCGACAGGUGGCCAGGGGGCCGGGCUGGCCAAGGAGGAGGCGGUGGCUCAGGGACACACCUGCAGACGGUGGAGCUGACCAGUCGCUGGGCACCACGGGGCUGGGCAGUCCAGAGGGGAGAACUCGGCCACCCGCGGAGCAGAGUGAGCGAGGGCCUCGGUGCCCACACCCAGAGCCCGGGCACCACGCCCUCGAUCGCCUUGGCCCAAGUGGAAGGGAAGACAGAGGCACCUGGAACCGAAGGCGGUGGACAGCCAGGUGGACUGGAGACACGAGUCAGUAAGAAGCACACCGGGCCUCAGGCUGGGGUGGCCGCAGGUACGUGGUGGUUCAUCUCCAGCACAAGAUCCGGGUGCAGCCCCAAAGAGGAGAGGAACAAGGUCUGCUUGCAUCUCUGCCAGGAAACACCUGUGGACAGCCAUGGAGCACUCACACACAGCACCCACGUCACCCUCUCACCUCCUCAGAGGAGGUGACGGUCCCUCCCACAGAGGAAACCUUUCUUUAUAAAUGAGUGAGCAUCAUGUUGUAAAUUCACAUCCUCUUUGCCCAGCAAUUCCACUUCUAGACAUGUACGGUGAGGACACGUGCCUAUGCACCAAGGUGAACAUACAAAUAACAUGCAUGACUGUGAAAGUGCCAGAAGGCAUCCUGAAUGUUCUCAUGAAGGAGCGGGUGAGCCAGUCCACACAGGUCUGUGUGUGGAGUACCAUACAGCAGUCAAAAAGAACAAGGCAACCGUAUAAGUCCUGAUUUUUGAGAACCCAAGAGAUACAUUGUUAAGUGAAAAAAAUCAAGAUACAGAAUACUA